GUGCCAGCAGCCGCGGUAAUACGUAGGGUGCGAGCGUUAAUCGGAAUUACUGGGCGUAAAGCGUGCGCAGGCGGUUUGUUAAGAUAGGCGUGAAAUCCCCGGGCUCACCCUGGGAACUGCGUUUAUGACUGGCAGGCGAUAGUAUGGCAGAGGGGGGUGGAAUUCCACGUGUAGCAGUGAAAUGCGUAGAGAUGUGGAGGAACACAGAUGGCGAAGGCAGCCCCCUGGGCCAAUACUGACGCUCAUGCACGAAAGCGUGGGUAGCAAACAGGACUAGAUACCCUGUUAGUCGAAGCCCUAA
This 301-nucleotide ribosomal RNA is filed under the name uncultured bacterium. RNAcentral describes it as "bacterial SSU rRNA". It matches the Rfam family "Bacterial small subunit ribosomal RNA", at positions 505 to 805 of the family's 1533-position model. The record is from RNAcentral.